AAGAGGAAUGAGGAUAAUUAUCCAAAGUCUAUAAAUCUGAACCAUAGUGUUGAAUCAAUGACAUGCACUACCAUCUGACCUCUU
Arabidopsis lyrata subsp. lyrata is the source of this 84-nucleotide small nucleolar RNA. NCBI's taxonomy places the organism in Eukaryota, Viridiplantae, Streptophyta, Magnoliopsida, Brassicales, Brassicaceae. The record is from Rfam.